Gossypium arboreum is the source of this 432-nucleotide long non-coding RNA. RefSeq lists it as uncharacterized. NCBI's taxonomy places the organism in Eukaryota, Viridiplantae, Streptophyta, Magnoliopsida, Malvales, Malvaceae. The record is from RefSeq and is a predicted model, not a curated record. The transcript is spliced from 2 exons.
GUGAUAGCUAGGGAGUGGUCGUUAGGCCACACGGGCUUACGGGCCCACACGGGCAUGUGGUAUCUUGGCCAGGCUGUGUGUUCCACAUGGCCAAGGCAAGCUGGGCGUGUGGGCCCAUACAGGCUAGUCAUAUGGGCAUGUGACCCCAUUUAACCGAAAUCUUUCCUAAAGUUGCACGGGUGUCCCAAACGAUUGUGAGCCUGCUGUAAAAUCGGUAAUCCACAAAGUUAGAUGGAUCAGUGCAGCAGUGGACUGACGGUGACCACUCUUUUGAAAUUGUUACACUUUUGUUUUAUGGUUUCAUUUUAAUUUGUUGGGUAUUUCUUUUGUAAUUGGGAUUUUAUGGAUUGUUUUACUUAAAUUUGGGUUUUACAAUGUUUACGACCUUAUAACUGCAAAACUCAGUAACAAUUAGAUUUUACGAAAAGCAAA